ACACAUGCAAGUCGAGGGGCAGCAUGAGGAGUCAGCAAUGACACCUUGAUGGCGACCGGCGCAAGGGUGCGUAACGCGUGAGCAACCUGCCCGUCACGGGGGGAUAACCGGUGGAAACGCCGACUAAUAUCCCAUGGUUUCCGUUGGGGGCAUCCCCGGCGGAAUAAAGGCUUCGGCCGGUGACGGAUGGGCUCGCGUGACAUUAGGCAGUAGGCGGGGUAACGGUCCACCUAACCUACGAUGUCUAGGGGUUCUGAGAGGAAGGUCCCCCACACUGGAACUGAGACACGGUCCAGACUCCUACGGGAGGCAGCAGUGAGGAAUAUUGGUCAAUGGGCGGAAGCCUGAACCAGCCAUGCCGCGUGACGGAAUACGGCCCUAUGGGUCUUAAACGUCUUUGGUCCCGGAGCAAUAAGAGCCACGCGUGGCUCGAUGAGAGUACGGGAAGAACAAGCAUCGGCUAACUCCGUGCCAGCAGCCGCGGUAAUACGGGGGAUGCGAGCGUUAUCCGGAUUUAUUGGGUUUAAAGGGUGCGUAGGCGGGGUGGUAAGUCAGCCGUGAAAUGUCCACGCUCAACGUGGAACGUGCGUUUGAUACUGCCGUCCUGGAAUGCGGAUGCCGUGGGAGGAAUGUGUGGUGUAGCGGUGAAAUGCAUAGAUAUCACACAGAACACCGAUUGCGAAGGCAUCUCACGAAUCCGCAAUUGACGCUGAGGCACGAAAGCGCGGGUAUCGAACAGGAUUAGAUACCCUGGUAGUCCGCGCUGUAAACGAUGAUGGCUAACCGCCGGCGACACACUGUCGGUGGCCAAGCGAAAGCGAUAAGCCAUCCACCUGGGG
This 839-nucleotide ribosomal RNA is filed under the name uncultured bacterium. Its description in RNAcentral is "bacterial SSU rRNA". It matches the Rfam family "Bacterial small subunit ribosomal RNA", at positions 51 to 878 of the family's 1533-position model. The record is from RNAcentral.